UACAGAGGGGGCAAGCGUUGUUCGGAAUUACUGGGCGUAAAGGGCGCGUAGGCGGCCAACUAAGUCAGACGUGAAAUCCCCAGGCUCAACCUGGGAACUGCGUCUGAUACUGGAUGGCUCGAGUUCGGGAGAGGGAAGCGGAAUUCCAGGUGUAGCGGUGAAAUGCGUAGAUAUCUGGAGGAACACCGGUGGCGAAGGCGGCUUCCUGGACCGAUACUGACGCUGAGGCGCGAAAGCCAGGGGAGCAAACGGG
RNAcentral lists this ribosomal RNA (253 nucleotides) under uncultured bacterium. RNAcentral's name for it is "partial 16S ribosomal RNA". It matches the Rfam family "Bacterial small subunit ribosomal RNA", at positions 524 to 776 of the family's 1533-position model. The record is from RNAcentral.